Non-coding RNA from Pelobates cultripes (western spadefoot toad), 302 nucleotides. Lineage: Eukaryota; Metazoa; Chordata; Amphibia; Anura; Pelobatidae. The record is from the annotation of a GenBank genome assembly.
AGCAGGCCCCUCCAAGAACCCGUGACGAGGUUUGGUACGUCACACUGACAUUAUAGUGUGAAUUAUUUCCUGUAAUUCACAUAAAUGCCUUGUAUUAUAAAUUACAGGAUUAUGUUGAACUGGGGCUCACACUCACAUCUGCCUUCACAUUUUAAAAAUUCUAUUGUCGCCCCAUGUUUCGUUACCAAAGUUAAACGUGUUCAUAGUGUUUAUUUCUCAUAGAUAAAACCAAUGACAACGAACAGCUGCAAAACUAGUGUACACCGAAAAGACUAUGUUUUGUGCCCAUGUUUUUUCUGAUU